This 236-nucleotide ribosomal RNA is filed under the name uncultured bacterium. Its description in RNAcentral is "partial 16S ribosomal RNA". It matches the Rfam family "Bacterial small subunit ribosomal RNA", at positions 100 to 334 of the family's 1533-position model. The record is from RNAcentral.
CGGCACGGGUGAGUAACACGUAUCCAACCUGCCGUCUACUCUUGGACAGCCUUCUGAAAGGAAGAUUAAUACAAGAUGGCAUCAUGAGUCCGCAUGUUCACAUGAUUAAAGGUAUUCCGGUAGACGAUGGGGAUGCGUUCCAUUAGAUAGUAGGCGGGGUAACGGCCCACCAAGCCUUCGAUGGAUAGGGGUUCUGAGAGGAAGGUCCCCCACAUUGGAACUGAGACACGGUCCAA